AGAGUUUGAUCCUGGCUCAGAUUGAACGCUGGCGGCAUGCUUUACACAUGCAAGUCGAACGGCAGCACGGGCUUCGGCCUGGUGGCGAGUGGCGAACGGGUGAGUAAUGCGUCGGAACGCGCCGAGUAGUGGGGGAUAACGCAGCGAAAGCUGUGCUAAUACCGCAUACGUACUGAGGUAGAAAGUGGGGGACCUUCGGGCCUCACGCUAUUCGAGCGGCCGACGUCUGAUUAGCUAGUUGGUGGGGUAAAGGCUCACCAAGGCGACGAUCAGUAGCGGGUCUGAGAGGAUGAUCCGCCACACUGGGACUGAGACACGGCCCAGACUCCUACGGGAGGCAGCAGUGGGGAAUUUUGGACAAUGAGCGCAAGCCUGAUCCAGCCAUGCCGCGUGUCUGAAGAAGGCCUU
This 408-nucleotide ribosomal RNA is filed under the name uncultured bacterium. RNAcentral's name for it is "bacterial SSU rRNA". It matches the Rfam family "Bacterial small subunit ribosomal RNA", at positions 8 to 418 of the family's 1533-position model. The record is from RNAcentral.